CAUGGGACCUGCAGGAACCAACCAUGUGGACAAACGAAAAAUGCCUUUUGUCUGCACAUUGCCGUGACCCUACAGAAACAUGGAGGACUCUGUCUGGCUUAGCACAGCUGGCUGAGUCUGAUCGUUCCCCUCCACACAAC
Pteronotus mesoamericanus is the source of this 140-nucleotide non-coding RNA. RefSeq annotates it as small Cajal body-specific RNA 3. The record is from RefSeq and is a predicted model, not a curated record. NCBI's taxonomy places the organism in Eukaryota, Metazoa, Chordata, Mammalia, Chiroptera, Mormoopidae. The transcript has a single exon.